AUAUGACAGAUACUCAAUAAAUACUAAGUGACUUUACAGGAUUCUCAUAACCACACAAUAAGGUUAGUGUCAACUACAGUACAGGUGAUAAAACUGAAAUAAAAAGUGGGUUUGGUGACUUGUCCAAAGUAAGAAAGUUAAUAAGAUAUAGAGCUUAAGUUCAUCAGAUUUGAAGGCUGUUGUUCUUUUAUUAAAUCAUAGCUGGCUUCAAUGAAAAGCAGCCACUUAAUAAAGUAUAAGAUGGACAAAGACUAAGACUGAAAAUGCCAGGAACAGAAACCGCUGUCAGAUGACAAUGACCCAGUUUCAGGGAAUAUGUUUGGAGAUAGAAGAACCAGUUUUAUGCCUAGGCAAGAAGAAUUCCAUGACCACCAAACUGAGCCCAUCUCCCAUGAAGAGCUGGAGAGAUUUGAGAAGCCACACCCAGCAACAUCCUCAGCCUGAUAUUACCAGUUGUUCCUUGGAAAAUGAAUUUCAUACUCCAGUAGUGUGACCAAACUACAUUUCCCCAUCAUGGUAGCCUAAGCCAGGAAGUGCAGAAAAGAGAAGGAUGUCAUUAAGUGGAAAAUAAUCAGGGCAUUUUGAGAGUGGUGUUUUUGGCCGUCGAGAUAAGUCAGUCAUUCUGAGGCAUGGAUGGACAGAGAGCAAUCACUGGCAAGAACGAGAAGAGAUGAAUAGGUCGGGCUCUCUCUGUGGGUAUAAAACUCUGAGCAGUUCACUUCAACUCAUUGGAUCUUGGUGGGCCUCAGACCCACUAAUUACUGUAGUUUCUUAAGGCCUCAAGGUUCAUUCUCUAAAGAAGAACUCCUGCCACAUUCAUUUAUAGCUAUCUUUUAAAAAUACCCAAAUCUGGCUGCACAGUGGCUCAUGCCUGUAAUCCCAGCACUUUGGGAGGGUGAAUUGGGAGGAUGACUUUAGACCAGCAUGGGCAACACAGCAAGACCCCAUCUCUACAAAAAAUAAAUAAAUAAAUAAAAAUUAGCUGGGUGAAGUGGUGUGUGCCUAUAGUUCCAGCUACUCAGGAGGCUGAGGCAGGAGAAUUGCUUGAGCCCAGGAGUUAGAGGAUGUAGUGAGUUGUAAUCAUGCCACUGACUCCAGCCUGGAUGACAGAGUGCCUCGUUUCCAAAAAAAAAAAAAGAAAUCCUCCUAUCAUGAGUCUUUCCUUUAGAAUAAUUUUGCUUUCUUAAAAUAUUAUUUUUCUAAGAAUUAAUAGCAAGUAAUAUAUAAUCCACACUUAUGUAUAUGUUAAAAGUGCCUGGAGUUUUUUCAGUUACUCUAAAUCCAGCUUUUUAUUUUAAUCUUCUAAAUCCACUCCGUUGUGUUGACACCAGAUAUGAUCAGGUCUUUAGAAGCUGAGUUGCACUAACAGAACAUGUAGCAACAUAUUAUUCCAAGAUAUUAGCUUAUAUUAAUACACAAUGAUUGAGUUGACUGAGUACUUCAAUCCCCUACCUGAGGAGACUGUGUAUAUUGGGUUCACAUACAGCAAUAUAUAAUGGAAGUAGAUGGUCUUUGGGGUAUCUUUCCUGCAACCUGGGAGUUAAUGAAUCAUUUUUCCUCAUUGUGGAAACAAUACACAUUUUUUGUUGUCUCAAAUAAAAUUAU
Molecule: long non-coding RNA, 1605 nt
Organism: Symphalangus syndactylus (siamang)
Lineage: Eukaryota; Metazoa; Chordata; Mammalia; Primates; Hylobatidae
Source: RefSeq, a predicted model, not a curated record